UACGUAGGGUGCAAGCGUUGUCCGGAAUCAUUGGGCGUAAAGAGCGUGUAGGCGGCCCGAUCAGUCCGCUGUAAAAGUCCAAGGGCUCAACCCUGGGAUGCCGGUGGAUACUGUCGGGCUAGAGUCCGGAAGAGGCGAGUGGAAUUCCUGGUGUAGCGGUGAAAUGCGCAGAUAUCAGGAGGAACACCAAUGGCGAAGGCAGCUCGCUGGGACGGUACUGACGCUGAGACGCGAAAGCGUGGGGAGCAAACAGG
This 254-nucleotide ribosomal RNA is filed under the name uncultured bacterium. Its description in RNAcentral is "partial 16S ribosomal RNA". It matches the Rfam family "Bacterial small subunit ribosomal RNA", at positions 524 to 776 of the family's 1533-position model. The record is from RNAcentral.